CAGUUUGUAUUAUAUAUGGGUUCUUUAUGCUUGCCUUUAAAUCCUUCUUAAUUUUCCCUGUGCAGUCCAAGUAAGCAUCGCGAACUGCCAUAAGCAUCGCGAACCACUCGAGUAUCUUCAUUCCCUGUGUAGAACUGUUCAAGAAAAGCACCUGUAAAACCAACAGCGUGGAGGAGCCGGCUUCCCGUGUCAGAGUUGCGUGUACUUGCGGGCUACUUCACCGUCACCAGCCCAUCUGUAGUAUUGUAGGGAUGGACAUAUGGAUUGAGUGGUACCCACCUGAAAGAUACACAUCUCAGCAGCCAAGAACUUCAAUAAAAAUGUAUAUCCCAACUCCUUUUAUAAUCUUGAAUGCUUCUCGGUCAACGUCGGUGUCACUUCCAGUCUUGGAUGCUACCAGGAUGCCAGGUGCAAACUUCAUGGAGGCAUAAUGGCUCUGUACUAGCUUUUCUUGAUGAAUGAAAGCAGUGAUGCUGAUAUGGACUAUCUGAACAAUCCACAUUCAGUUUAAGUGAUGUUACUUUGCUUGAAAUUUUGAGAUUGAACUAUUAGCUUACUAUCAGGUCUGCACCAUUCUAGAUAUCAUCUUGACUUUUAACUUCUCCAAAUGCAACAUUGGAUAACAUAA
Long non-coding RNA from Triticum aestivum (bread wheat), 628 nucleotides. RefSeq lists it as uncharacterized. NCBI's taxonomy places the organism in Eukaryota, Viridiplantae, Streptophyta, Magnoliopsida, Poales, Poaceae. The transcript is spliced from 3 exons. The record is from RefSeq and is a predicted model, not a curated record.